Long non-coding RNA from Mercenaria mercenaria, 1406 nucleotides. RefSeq lists it as uncharacterized. NCBI's taxonomy places the organism in Eukaryota, Metazoa, Mollusca, Bivalvia, Venerida, Veneridae. The record is from RefSeq and is a predicted model, not a curated record. The transcript has 2 exons.
AUCAUAAAAAUAUAAAUUUAGCACUUGUUAAAUACAUAUUCCUCUGUGGUGUUUUGGUCAUGUUAUGUUCAUGAUAUAACCAAACUUCAGUUUUAAAGAAAUAUCAUUUUAGCCAAAAUCUAGACUGGCCAGUGCCUGUUGGAAAUACAAAUGGAAGUUCAAGUUCUCAUCUUCUUAUGGGAAAUUUUGACAGUAUCUGAUUUUAGGCCCAACUUCAACUAAAUAUGAUACCAGACCCUUUUCCUGGUAACCAUUUCCACUUUCCACCCCCAAGUAAAGUUGUUUUUACCAACACUAUAUCUCCUUCAACAAAAUGUCUCAUGAUACUAUGAUUUCUAUCAUGACUUGAUGCCAUUUUUCAUGGUUUCGCUCCAUGCCCAGCUCAUUGUUUUAACACUGCAAGAGAUUCCUUAGUAAUUAAGUGUGGUGUAUUUCUGUACUGUAACAGAAUGCUUGAUAACCUGUAGUGUAAAGUAUUUUUCUUUCUACCGUUUCUUGCCUCAAAUAAUUGUUUCUUAAGGCAUUUUGAAGACUUAAACUGUUGUUUCCAUUGCUCCACUCAAACUUAGAUGAAGUGCUGGAACUAAAGUAUCCUUUAUUCCAUUAUUGUUCAUGAAUAUCUCCAAUGCUGCAGAUGUAAACCUAGGAUCGUUAUCACUCACAAGUUCUUCCGGGAGGGGAGACCCGAUGUACAAAACAAUCCGUGUAAUAUUUCAGAGGUUUUCUCAUUAGUCGUUGACUUCAUCAAAAUUAUUUCUAGCCUAUGAGAUUAACUGUCCAUCACAACUAGAAAUACCUGUUUAUUUGAAUUCGGCAUAGUCAAAGUGAAUACAUUGCCAUGGCGUUGUUGCCCAUUUCCAUGGAUGCAAUGGUGCUGUUGCUGGUGAAUUUUUAACUGACAUGCAUGUUGCACAUACUUUAACUGUUCUUUCAAUAUCUGAGUCAAUGUUGUUCCACUAUAAAUAACUGCACUAAAACUCAUUUUACACAUUCCCAUGUGUUUCUCAAGUAGUUCAGUAAGCAGCCGCAUGGGUUAAGAAAUAAGACUGCCUGGUUACGUUUAUAAAUCAUAUUUGGUGCAUUUUCCGUUUUGAUUGUGGAUGGAAGUCCGUGUGUGGCAAAUAUUUUCAUAAGCCUUUGAAUGAUAGCCCUGGAGGUAAUUGAUUUCAUGAUUUCAAUUUCUGGGAAGCGAGAGUAGUAGUCUAUCACAACAAGAAUAUACUCUCCGCCAGGCAAUGGUCCUGUGAGAUCCAUUCCUACAUUUUGCCAGGGUGCGUCCGAUAAGUCAGUUGGCGUUAUAGCAGGUUGCUGAGGCAGGUUUGAAACUAACUGGCACUGGUAACAAGUUCUAAUUAAAGUUUCAAUUUCAUUUUCAAUUCCAGGCAAAUAAACCUUUUCUCUUAGCA